ACAGGGUGACAGGUGGUGCAUGGUUGUCGUCAGCUCGUGUCGUGAGAUGUUCGGUUAAGUCCGCUAACGAGCGCAACCCUCGCUGUGUGUUAUAUGUGUCACACGGGGACUGCCGGUCUUAAGCCGGAGGAAGGUGGGGAUGAUGUCAAGUCAGCAUGGCCUUUAUAUCCUGGGCUACACACACGCUACAAUGGCCAACACAAUAGGUUGCUAAGCCGCGAGGUGGCGCCAAUCCAUAAAGUUGGUCUCAGUUCAGAUUGUAGGCUGCAACCCGCCUGCAUGAAGAUGGAGUUGCUAGUAACCGCAGGUCAGCUAUACUGCGGUGAAUACGUUCCCGGGGCUU
Molecule: ribosomal RNA, 343 nt
Filed under: uncultured Leptolinea sp.
Lineage: Bacteria; Bacillati; Chloroflexota; Anaerolineae; Anaerolineales; Anaerolineaceae
Description: bacterial SSU rRNA
Rfam family: Bacterial small subunit ribosomal RNA
Source: RNAcentral